GUGACUUUGACGUGGGUGAUCUGUGGGCUGGACUAGGAGAUCAGAGCACAUGUAACAAGAAUGAAGAGAAUCCAUCUGGCAGAGUAAAGCCAGAUUCAAACUUUGGAGGGAAGAAAUCAAUCAUUUUGCUGAUGCACACUUGGCUGGACUGUGAGCUUCUCAAGGACAGGACCGUGUCUGUUUGCUCUGCAUGGUACCCAGCCUGGAUGGAGCACAGCGCACCGCCCCCUGCUGCCCCACCAGAUGCUCAUUAAGAAACCACUGGGUAAGGUGCGGCCUCUAGGGGGAGGCGGGAUGUGUGCCUAGAAAACCCAAAGACAAGGCAGGACAGAGCCCUUCACAGUGUCUGCAGUGGACAGGAGGAUAGGACUGCCCCCGGCCUGGAAACACAGCGGACACUUGAAGGAGGGCGUCACAAGCUCAGCCAUGGAGAAGGACGUGGAUCGGAGCAGCAAGGGGCACAGGGGGAAAGGCCGAACAGUGUGUCUAUGGCCAGGUUGGAGGCUGCAACUGGAGGUGGGCCUGCUGGGGCAAAGAGCCGUGAGCACCUGCAACGAGAAAAACAACUUCUGUUUCUCUGAGUUGCUGCCUAGGCCUUUUACAGCACAACCCUGCACAUGCCGAGAGUCUGGACAUUUAGAUAAGGACUUGAGUUUAGGAUUCCUGCCCCAAGUUCCCGCUUGGCUUUUCCCAGGAGCCUUUUAAAAUAACCCCUGAGGACUGAGCCGUGGAACUCAGUGACCUCCACAGCAACCAUCUUCAAGGGAAUGGGUGCACCUACCCCACUCUGUCUCCUGCUCCCCGGCAGCCUG
Non-coding RNA from Manis javanica (Malayan pangolin), 812 nucleotides. The record is from RefSeq and is a predicted model, not a curated record. NCBI's taxonomy places the organism in Eukaryota, Metazoa, Chordata, Mammalia, Pholidota, Manidae.